RNAcentral lists this unclassified non-coding RNA (590 nucleotides) under Aspergillus puniceus. RNAcentral describes it as "sequence contains 18S rRNA gene, ITS1, 5.8S rRNA gene, ITS2, 28S rRNA gene". The stretch from base 217 to 370 matches the Rfam family "5.8S ribosomal RNA". The record is from RNAcentral. Lineage: Eukaryota; Fungi; Ascomycota; Eurotiomycetes; Eurotiales; Aspergillaceae.
UCGUAACAAGGUUUCCGUAGGUGAACCUGCGGAAGGAUCAUUACCGAGUGCAGGCCUCGCCCCACAGGCAGGCCUAACCUCCCACCCGUGAAUACCUGACCAACGUUGCUUCGGCGGUGCGCGCCCCCUUCCCGGGGGGCGUAAGCCGCCGGGGACCACACCGAACUUCUUGUUUUUAGCGUGUCGUCUGAGCUUGAUACAAGCAAACCUAAUUAAAACUUUCAACAAUGGAUCUCUUGGUUCCGGCAUCGAUGAAGAACGCAGCGAACUGCGAUAAGUAAUGUGAAUUGCAGAAUUCAGUGAAUCAUCGAGUCUUUGAACGCACAUUGCGCCCCCUGGCAUUCCGGGGGGCAUGCCUGUCCGAGCGUCAUUGCUGCCCUUCAAGCCCGGCUUGUGUGUUGGGUCGUCGUCCCCCCCGGGGGACGGGCCCGAAAGGCAGCGGCGGCACCGCGUCCUGGUCCUCGAGCGUAUGGGGCUUUGUCACCCGCUCGUUUAGGGCCGGCCGGGCGCCAGCCGGCGUCUCCAAACCUUUUAUUUUACCAGGUUGACCUCGGAUCAGGUAGGGAUACCCGCUGAACCUAAGCAUAUCA